RNAcentral lists this ribosomal RNA (481 nucleotides) under uncultured bacterium. Its description in RNAcentral is "bacterial SSU rRNA". It matches the Rfam family "Bacterial small subunit ribosomal RNA", at positions 30 to 509 of the family's 1533-position model. The record is from RNAcentral.
AUUGAACGCUGGCGGCAUGCCUUACACAUGCAAGUCGAACGGUAACAGAUCUUCGGAUGCUGACGAGUGGCGAACGGGUGAGUAAUAUAUCGGAACGUGCCCAGUCGUGGGGGAUAACGCAGCGAAAGCUGUGCUAAUACCGCAUACGAUCUAUGGAUGAAAGCGGGGGAUCGCAAGACCUCGCGCGAUUGGAGCGGCCGAUAUCAGAUUAGGUAGUUGGUGGGGUAAAGGCCCACCAAGCCAACGAUCUGUAGCUGGUCUGAGAGGACGACCAGCCACACUGGAACUGAGACACGGUCCAGGCUCCUACGGGAGGCAGCAGUGGGGAAUUUUGGACAAUGGGUGCAAGCCUGAUCCAGCAAUGCCGCGUGCAGGAUGAAGGCCUCGGUUGUAACUGCUUUGUACGGUAACGAAAGGACUCUGGUUAAUACCUGGGCGUCAUGACGGUACCGUAAGAAUAAGCACCGGCUAACUACGUGCC